Molecule: long non-coding RNA, 816 nt
Filed under: Bemisia tabaci
Lineage: Eukaryota; Metazoa; Arthropoda; Insecta; Hemiptera; Aleyrodidae
Description: lncRNA ENSSSA1NGG014385
Source: RNAcentral
CCGUCUACACAGAGAGCGAAUCUGAGACUGGUUAUUCCUAAUUCACAUGAAGAGGCAAGUAGUAAUAAUAUCACACCCAACUCUGUGUUACACACUCCAGUGGUAGCACUAUCAACACCUGUUGUCUAUCCUGCAGGCAUGUUUCCAAGUAAUUCUGCUGACUUAAGCCUGGCCUCGUUUAGUUGGAACCCUAAUGCUCACCCAAGCUUCACUCAUGUUGGCGGAUCAAAUUCGUCACCACCUCCACCAUCACCCUCUUUGUCGCCGCACUCUGUGAGCAUAAAAAGUGAACCGAUAUCACCUCCUCAAAAUGAGCAGCACACCUCACAUCUCCUCUCUCCUCAUCCUCUAGUGCAAGUGCCCUCAUCUGUAGCAGAAUUAAGGCAUUAUGAUGAAGGAGGUCCCCCAGCAAAAGGCUUCGAGAGAGUUGGCCCACAUAACGAAAGAAUUACUCUGCUCCAUCUCAUGAUGAGUUGGGGGCAGAUUUCAGGACAUACCACUCAAACUUUGCGGAAUUUCAUCGCAGCCAAAAGUCUGUUCUCUAUUGAAUACAAGUUGAAAAUACAUAUUUGUAAUUGUGCCAUAACAUUCCCUCUCUUCUGGUGUCUCCUCCUAUUGAGUCUCCUUUCCUUGCUCCCCCUCCCUCGUAAGUGUCAUGUACCUCUUCUCCCACCCUUUGUACUAGCAUGUCUGAAUCCCCUCGCUCUUUGCUUCCAGAUUCUGGAAUCCGAACUGUAUAUUUGUUGUAGAUGUUAUAAAUUUUAUUUUUCAAUCAAAAGAAUCACUAUUUUCUUGGAAAGUGUUUGCUGCACUUAA